CGCCCCUCACCUCGGCCGCGGUCCAGCAGGUGCCGCCAGCAGCAGCAGCAGGUGGCCAGGAGGGAGUGCUAAUAAAGCUUUGGACUGUGAGGUUUCCUUGAUUCUGAAACUUGCACCUAGGUCUGCAAGAUCCUCAAUUUGUUAACCUUCCAGAGGAGCUGUAAAACAUAUUUCUUCUUGGCAUUUGGGGAGAUCCUCCAAGAGAGCAGUAAUCAUGCCUUUGGAAUGCACCAAACAGUAUGGAAGAGCAAGAAACUCCAAACAAGCUACCUUCAGCUUGGAGAAAGAAGGGAAGGACAGGGAGUCUCAUCUUCCCUGCUAGCGCACUACUGCCCCAGAGACCAUUCGGGUGAUACAAAGAAGAGUGAACCUAACCCAACAGAGCCUGAUGGUGACCGAACAUGCAUGUGGUAGCCUAAGACAUAUUACAAUUAGGCUGCAGACUACAUCAUCAUCAGGUUCUGAAGACACAAGAUUGAAUCAAGUGCUCCAGAAAGAAAUCUUGCAAAUUACUACUCUGCCUGAAAAAUGAGUAAAUCAACUGUGAAAAGGUAACUUUUGGAAGCCCCCCGAACUACUAAACUCUAAAGAAGGGAGCUAGUUUCAAUCUUUAACAAAACGGCAAAAGUGUGGAAAUGGCCACGACCUUUCGUUGUCAAUUGUAAAACAGCCAAUUAGCCACCCCUACAACUCCGCCCCCUUGUCCCCAAACUCAUGGAUUAAUUUACCCAAGAGAAUGGAAGAGAUCUGAAGGAGCUUUUCCAAACCUAGGCCAAUUACUGAAUUUGUUGAAACAUGGAUUAUGUAUUGAAAUUAACUAGAAUGGCACCUUUGGAAUCACUGUCAACUUCAAUUACAGGUCAGCAGUUCAUUGGGUUCUGUUUUAUUUUGCAAUUAUGUAAAUUAAACCACUUGAGUAAGAUUAUUUAAAAUGGCAUUGGCAUGUGCAGUAAAGUAAAACAGUGUUUAAUAUGAAUCCUGGACAAUGGCUGUGACUACAGCAGAGCCCAGACCACUAUAAAGGAACCUUACAGUUAAUGAGAAACAGGCCCUUUAUCUUCAAAUGUCCUGCCUGUGCUCCCACUGGUGCAGCUUUAGUUAGAUUAUCUAACCCUGCUCAAAAUGCCAGCACCCAGAAGUGGCCUAUGUACAUUAGCAUUCCCACUAUUGGAGCUACACCAGUGGUAACAAUGAUGAGAAAUUAUAAAAAGGGGGAAAAUCUGCUGUAAAGGCGGCCAGGGGGCCUGAUCUUGCUUCCACUGAAAUCACUGGCAAGACUCCCACUGACUUGAAUGGAAAUUGAAUCAAGUCCUAUACAAACUAUUUCUUAGACAAAGUUAUACCAAAUAGAAUUCCCAUUUGAAUUCCCAGGAGAGCCAAAAGCUUGAUCCUGCCAGAAGUCAUUGGAAGUUUUGUCACUGACUUCAGCGAGAGCAGAAGGAACCCCAAAAUGUUACAUCUGUUUAAUUAUUAUUUUAUACCAAAACUAAACUACAUUUUAAAAAUUAAACACACAAAACCAAAACGAUAUACUCCUGACGUGAAGCUUUGUAUAACUUUUAACCCAAGAAGAAAUUUUUUUUCAGUAGAUUUAAGGCCCUGUGAAAAAAUGGAUUUAUAUUGGAACUGCACACAUAACCUUAGCUAUAACAUCACAAAGGUCUUGUAAAAGAAAAUGUCAAAUAUUCUUUAAAUAUCUUAGAUUUAUUUCAGACUUAAUUUUAACAUUCUGAGUGAAACUUAAAAAAAACCCCAACAACCUUUAAUUAUUCAGCUUCAAAGGCAUUUCAUAUUGACUGUAUUCCUCAUUUUUUACCUUUCUUCAAAGUACACACAGACACAGUCAAUGACCAGGUUCUAUUCUGAGGGAUAUUAAGUAUUUAGGAGGAAUUGUAUUAGUUUCAUAGUUGUAGUCCAAUUUCUAUUGCAAUAUGGAGAAGACGCAACUUAAAAAUGGCCUGUGAAAAACUACAUAUUUGAUCAGGACAUUAUAUGUGCCUAUUUCAUACCCAACUCAUAGUAUUUAAAAAUGGAAUUAAUGCAUAACACAUAUGCAUCUAAAUACAUACACAAUAUUUCAAAUACAAAAAUAUGUUAUGGCUCCAUUGCAGUAUGUAUAGCUUUUGCAGUAAGAAAGGGUUAAAAAGUAAUGCAUACAAAAUGUGAUGAGCAACUGAGAAAUACAAAUCUACCUAACUGAUGUGCUGCGCACCUGAGUGCAAAAUCCGCGAUCUAAAUGUAGAGAAAGUGCUGAAUGAUCUACAGCCCAGUUUUCAUAGGCUAAUGAGAUGUCUAUCUGUGGGUGAAUGUUUUGUUAGAUUGUUACAAAUGAGUUCUGACAUCUGGAUAAGGACACAACCUACGGAUUUACUCUAUACUAUAGAUUGUUUUAAUCUUGUUUUUUCCUUUAUCAUUUUCUCUGUGGUAGCGAUAAGGAACUAUUAUUUGGUGCAUGUACAUAGACACCAACUCUGUGGGUGCUCUGUGCCUCAAGCACCCAUGGAAAAAAAAUAGGGGCUGCUCAGCGUCCACCAGCCACACUGGUUCCGGCCCCGGGGCUGGCCGCUGAUCAGCUCUCGGGCUGACCGCCGAUCAGCGAGUGACUGGUUGGAGGUGCUAGGGGAGGGCAGGGCAGAGGGGAAGGAGUGGCGGUUGGGGCAGCCUCAGGAGAGGGAAUGGAGAGGAGUGAGCAGCGAGGGGCAUUAGGUGAGGCAUGAAGGUGGGGCCUCAGAGGAGGGUGCGGGGCAAGGGUGGAGCAGGGGGUGGAGCACCUACCGGGAAAAACAAAACUCAGUGCCUGUGUGCGUGUCUAAAUCACAGCACAAUCUAAAACACUUUCCCUGUAUUGACUUACGUGUAUGCAUUUUACUCAUGGCAGAUGUUCAGGUUGGAAUUUCUGUGUUUAUAGCUGCCCAUGGUUUACUAACUCUUUUUAUAUGUACCAAAAAAGGUGGGAAGCAAAUUUCAUUAUGGAUAAGAGGUCAAUCCUGAGAGGUGCUAAGCACCCAUAACGACAGAUUGUAUAGAUCAAAGUCAGGAUCUGGAAGCUGUGAAUGUAAAUCUAUAUUCAAAAAUCAAACCUAAAAGAUAACAAAGAUACAUUGUUCGGACACAUUUUGGCAGUAAAACACACAGCAUAUAUACUAUUUCCAGAAAGGCUAUGCUGUAUAGAUAAUGUUAAGGGACAAAAUAGUUGUGAUGUUUUCAUUUUUUAUCACAUUACAAAAUGACUAUCUGAAUAUAUUUCCAUGAGAGAUACACUAGUAGAAUAUGUAUAUUUUUAAUUUCUCUCUCUCAAAAGUACUUUAGCAAUAUCAUUAGAACACAUGGAGGGCUCCAGCAAACUGCAUGGCCCUGAAAUUAUGCAGCAUAUAUAUUAUGUACAUAAGAUGUAUCUGCUGAGUAAGAAUAUAGUACUUAUCAAAUUUUGUUUGAUAAUCUCUUCCAUACAUGUCUAUGUUCAUGUCUUUUUUAAUAUAUGUAUCUUUUCCUGCAGCAUUCAGAAUUAAAGAGCUUUUCUGGAGUAAGUUGUUGGGUGGAAGGAUAUUUACUUUCUAAACAACUCCAUAUCAAACAUUUUUCAGUUUAUCCCUGAAACCUGCCAACAUCCCUCUCACUUUUGUUUCUGCCCGAAUAAACUUUGAAAAAAUAACAAAACUGCAUUGCGACUAAAACCAGGUAAUUUUCUAGAUGUGAAUGAAUGACAGAAAAGACUGUGAAGUGAACUAUUAUAUUAACAAAACAUAAUACAGACAAAAUUUGUGGUUUUUACAAUCAAGUAUUCCCGGGGUUCGAAGAUGAUAUAAUCACAAUGCAUCCUGGUUUUCUUUUAAAUGAAGUAUUUCUUUACUUUUAGUUCUGCAAUUUAAAUACACCUGGGAAUAGCAAGAGUGGGAUUAUCGUUUAAUUAUUUAGCCAGUGUGCACAUAUGCAUUUGUGGAGCACUAUCUGGAACAUUUCCCCUGAAUUUCCUCAUAAUCUACUCAUAAAUCUCUAUUUUUGUUAAAAAGAAAAUAAAUCUAUCACCAUAUAGGCAUGUCUACACAUAUGGCUAGAAUUCCUAUUCUCAAAACUAAGUGUGUGAUGUUGAUAAAUAACUUAAUAGGAGUAGGAAAUGUGUGAACAGACAACAUAUUUGCGUGGACAAGUCCUUUAGAUUUAAUACGUGUGAUUUUCUAAAACCAAUAAGAUUUCUGAGUGGCCUAUACAUAGCUAGGUCACCUAUGUUUGUUGUAACAUUUUACUUGAAUUCCAUAUUAGAAGUGAACAUAUAAAAUAUUCUACCAUUGCUUAUUUGACAUUGGCACAAUCCAUUGCUAUUUACAUUAUCAGUCUAUUGUCAUUUUGAUACAUUUAUAUUGUCUGCAAUAUGCAUUUAGAAAAAUGGUAAUUUAUCAACUUUCAUCAUUAUCCAUUGAUGUAUUUUUUUAAGAACAAAUAAAUAAGCUGGACUUUCCAAAACUGAUUUACUGUACAUUAGUUAACAAAUAGGUUUGAUUUGUAGAAUUCUCUCUCUUGUAUUUGACUUGACCUUUAGUAUGACUCUCCAAGGUACUUUUGUGAGCUUUAAUUCAAUGUAAUUUAAUUACAGGAAUUGUGUUCUGUGGAAAAGAUAAGAUUACCUACUGUGAGCAAAACAAAGGCUUUGCUAAUUAUACAUCAGAAUUAAGCCAUAUUUAGUCUCACAUCAUCUAAUGCUGCAAAAUUAGAACAUUUUAAUAUAUACCUAACAUUUGUAUGGCUUGACCUUUAGAAGUAAUAAAGCUGCUCCUUUUGAUCUAGAAUUCAUAUUGGGAUAAAGUGUACAUAUUUCUACUAUGUUACAAAUGAUAUUUAUCCAUGAUAGAUUA
Molecule: long non-coding RNA, 4850 nt
Organism: Mauremys mutica (yellowpond turtle)
Lineage: Eukaryota; Metazoa; Chordata; Testudines; Geoemydidae
Exons: 5
Source: RefSeq, a predicted model, not a curated record